GAUGAAGAACGUAGCGAAAUGCGAUAAGUAGUGUGAAUUGCAGAAUUCAGUGAAUCAUCGAAUCUUUGAACGCACAUUGCGCCCCAUGGUAUUCCGUGGGGCAUGCCUGUUCGAGCGUCAUUUACCCCCUCAAGCUCCGCUUGGUGUUGGGCGUCUGUCCCGCUUCGGGCGCGGACUCGCCCCAAAGGUAUUGGCAGCGGUCGUGCCAGCUUCUCGCGCAGCACAUUGCGCUUCUCGAGGCACCGGUGGGCCCGCGUCCAUCAAGCUCACCCCCCAGUUUGACCUCGGAUCAGGUAGGGAUACCCGCUGAACUUAAGCAUAUCAAUAAGCGGAGGA
This 336-nucleotide unclassified non-coding RNA is filed under the name soil metagenome. RNAcentral's name for it is "partial contains 5.8S ribosomal RNA, internal transcribed spacer 2, and large subunit ribosomal RNA". The stretch from base 1 to 120 matches the Rfam family "5.8S ribosomal RNA", at positions 35 to 154 of the family's 154-position model. The record is from RNAcentral.